This 455-nucleotide ribosomal RNA is filed under the name uncultured Mycobacterium sp. RNAcentral describes it as "bacterial SSU rRNA". It matches the Rfam family "Bacterial small subunit ribosomal RNA", at positions 115 to 584 of the family's 1533-position model. Lineage: Bacteria; Bacillati; Actinomycetota; Actinomycetes; Mycobacteriales; Mycobacteriaceae. The record is from RNAcentral.
ACGUGGGUGAUCUGCCCUGCACUUUGGGAUAAGCCUGGGAAACUGGGUCUAAUACCGGAUAGGACUACGCGAUGCAUGGCGUGUGGUGGAAAGCUUUUGCGGUGUGGGAUGGGCCCGCGGCCUAUCAGCUUGUUGGUGGGGUGAUGGCCUACCAAGGCGACGACGGGUAGCCGGCCUGAGAGGGUGUCCGGCCACACUGGGACUGAGAUACGGCCCAGACUCCUACGGGAGGCAGCAGUGGGGAAUAUUGCACAAUGGGCGCAAGCCUGAUGCAGCGACGCCGCGUGAGGGAUGACGGCCUUCGGGUUGUAAACCUCUUUCACUAGGGACGAAGCGCAAGUGACGGUACCUAUAGAAGAAGCACCGGCCAACUACGUGCCAGCAGCCGCGGUAAUACGUAGGGUGCGAGCGUUGUCCGGAAUUACUGGGCGUAAAGAGCUCGUAGGUGGUUUGUC